RNAcentral lists this ribosomal RNA (97 nucleotides) under uncultured bacterium. RNAcentral describes it as "partial 16S ribosomal RNA". It matches the Rfam family "Bacterial small subunit ribosomal RNA", at positions 1388 to 1482 of the family's 1533-position model. The record is from RNAcentral.
CACCGCCCGUCACAUCACGAAAGUCGGUUGCACUCGAAAUCGCCGAGCCAACCCGCAAGGGAGGCAGGCGCUGACGGUGUGGCCGGUGAUUGGGGUG